This is a long non-coding RNA of Saccostrea cuccullata (small rock oyster), 156 nucleotides long. RefSeq lists it as uncharacterized. The transcript is spliced from 3 exons. NCBI's taxonomy places the organism in Eukaryota, Metazoa, Mollusca, Bivalvia, Ostreida, Ostreidae. The record is from RefSeq and is a predicted model, not a curated record.
GGCAAUGUUUGGGAAAAACUAAUUCUGCACAAUGUCACAAAAGGGAGCCAACUUUAGUAAACCAAGACCUACAAGACAGUCGUCUUUUACACAUAGAAUAGGGAAUAAGUCCUUAACAUCAGGAAGUGCAGUGUUGCAGAAAGGAAAAGGCAAAAC